GGGCGGUACCCGGCGCCUCCACCAAAAACCGGCGGCUUUAAGAUGAAAGGCCGGCUUUUGAUGGGGGCGAAAUAGGAUCGACAAGGGUGUAAAGAUCGAACUUUUGCUCGGCAUGAUACCGCCGUUAUCGGGUCAAAAGUGUAGUUGCAAACGACAACAACGCUAAGGAAUACGCUCUCGCUGCCUAAUGGCGGUGCGGGAAUUCCGCUCUAAAGCCCUCACGGUUAGCCCCGUGAGGCGGGGUUCGGAGGUACCUGGCAACAGAAACCUCCACC
RNAcentral lists this transfer-messenger RNA (275 nucleotides) under Agrobacterium pusense. Its description in RNAcentral is "Rhizobium pusense (bioreactor metagenome) partial transfer-messenger RNA". It matches the Rfam family "Alphaproteobacteria transfer-messenger RNA", at positions 96 to 355 of the family's 355-position model. From Rfam's summary of the family: Bacterial tmRNA, also known as 10Sa RNA or SsrA, is named for its dual tRNA and mRNA-like properties. Its role is to liberate the mRNA from a stalled ribosome. To accomplish this part of the tmRNA is used as a reading frame that ends in a translation stop signal. Lineage: Bacteria; Pseudomonadati; Pseudomonadota; Alphaproteobacteria; Hyphomicrobiales; Rhizobiaceae. The record is from RNAcentral.